AUAUUUUCAAUGGCGGUACGUAGGCGCAGUGCAAGUCUUGUCCUAUUUCAAAUAUAAUAUUCGCAAACAUAUCUCGAGGCUGACCUCGUGUGAACAGUUAUUGCUUCUUUAUUUAGAUUCGGUCCUUGGUUGUUACACUCGUAAGCAAACGUGAGCCUCACAUGCAUACUAAAUGCUCAGAUCAUAGUGGCCACGUGACUAACCUGCAGCUUGGAGUUACUAGCGAUUGUAUGCUAAUGAAAAUGCCCUAUACGUCCCGAUCGCCUCACCGUCAUUCUACUCUAUUGGAAUCGUAUAAAGUCCCGACUUCUAUUCAAAGAAAAACUAACCUUCGACUGCAGACGGUGCGGACAACCUGUGGUCAGCGGUUACCGUCACUCAUUGACAUCAGCAAUAGGUAUACCUACUGCUAACCAGUUUUAAGAAGGAUAUACAUAGUUCUCAGGAAAUGUUUGGGACGGGAAUUCCAGAGCGAGCUAUGUGUUAUAGGUAAAAAUGAGAUGAAGGUAUAAUCUCAAACAAUUCUUCAGAGAACUCCCUAUGGGACAUUCGGUACGGAACAGGGUAAGUUAUUUAGAUACUUUCAAGUCGUCAGCAUAUUUUAUCGAUGAAUGGAUUGAGUUUUAUGUAAACACUCAAACGAUAUGUAGGCGUUUUCUUUAGAGUUCCUUGUGAAUCGAAUCCGUAGUGUGACGAGGUCACCUGCCUAUACGUGGAGUAGCAGCAAUUGUCCGAGCGAUCAGUACUGUACAAAUAAUAUUAUAUGUUCAAGGUUGAGUGAAAGUAUUUUGAUUUAUUCCAUAAAAACUCUGAUUAAACAAUUUAAUUUAGCCGAAGAUUCAAACUAAAGUGAUAUGGUGAUGUAAUAGGUCAGAUGUCGUUGAUUUGUUGUUUAUUUCUUUACGUACCGUUUGCCGAUUGAAAUGUUUAAAAAAUAAUGUUAUCUUUGUUUUCAAAUUGAGUUGAUAAAAAUCGAUCACUCGGGUAAAAAACGUGCAACGAAGCCCCACGGUCAGCAUAUUGAUUUUUGUACGAUAUUAAGAGAGAUAGAUCCAAAAUCGAGGCAAUCAAGAUGUGAUGUUGGAGACUUAUAUUACGCAUCCCAUGGACUGCUGGUCGAAAAAAAUUGUCGUCUCGAAAAUCUCCAUAAUAACUAGGCCCUCUACAAUCAAUCUCUCAUCUACCCGUUGGUCAUAGCAUCACCUACCGGCAUGCCCCAUACCUGAAGCACUCAGGACCAUAGAAGAUAUAAGCACGUGGAAAGGAACUGUGCGAGUGAUGAGAGAACAGCCAUCUAACUAGACAUGACCUUCAGAACUGAAGAUGCCGGCUCAGAAGAACAAAGUAACCACGAAGCGACUCUACAAA
Long non-coding RNA from Bombyx mori (domestic silkworm), 1368 nucleotides. RefSeq lists it as uncharacterized. The record is from RefSeq and is a predicted model, not a curated record. The transcript is spliced from 2 exons. Lineage: Eukaryota; Metazoa; Arthropoda; Insecta; Lepidoptera; Bombycidae.